GCAUGCCGGUGGCCUCAGCUGAUGGACGACGGUGGCCGCCGAGCGAUCGGCAGCAGGUAACAAGAGCAAAGGCUGCUGCUGAUGGUUGGGUUCCAGGACUAGGAAGGAACACUGAAGCUUAUACGUUUUAAAGGAUCAGUUUUGGUGUUCCAUCUUCUCUAUCAAAGCCAUAGGGCUUGAACCCGCUGCUCCGCUC
Lolium rigidum is the source of this 196-nucleotide long non-coding RNA. RefSeq lists it as uncharacterized. The transcript is spliced from 3 exons. Lineage: Eukaryota; Viridiplantae; Streptophyta; Magnoliopsida; Poales; Poaceae. The record is from RefSeq and is a predicted model, not a curated record.